This 483-nucleotide ribosomal RNA is filed under the name uncultured bacterium. RNAcentral's name for it is "bacterial SSU rRNA". It matches the Rfam family "Bacterial small subunit ribosomal RNA", at positions 28 to 507 of the family's 1533-position model. The record is from RNAcentral.
GAUGAACGCUAGCGCAGGCCUAACACAUGCAAGUCAGGGGUAACAUGAAAAGCUUGCUUUUCAGAUGACACCGGCGCACGGGUGCGUAACGCGUAUACAACCUACCUUUUAGCGGGGAAUAGCCCAGGGAAACUUGGAUUAAUGCCCCAUAGUAUAUAGACUUCUCCUGAAGUUUAUAUUAAACAUUUAUGGCUAUUAGAUGGGUAUGCGUCCUAUUAGUUAGUUGGUAAGGUAACGGCUUACCAAGGCAGCGAUAGGUAGGGGUCCUGAGAGGGAGAUCCCCACACUGGUACUGAGACACGGACCAGACUCCUACGGGAGGCAGCAGUGAGGAAUAUUGGACAAUGGGCGAGAGCCUGAUCCAGCCAUGCCGCGUGCAGGAAGACUGCCCUAUGGGUUGUAAACUGCUUUUACAGAGGAAGAACCACCCCCACGUGUGGGGGUUUGACGGUACUCUGCGAAUAAGGAUCGGCUAACUCCGUG